Danio rerio (zebrafish) is the source of this 474-nucleotide non-coding RNA. The record is from RefSeq and is a predicted model, not a curated record. NCBI's taxonomy places the organism in Eukaryota, Metazoa, Chordata, Actinopteri, Cypriniformes, Danionidae.
UGUGGACUGUGCACUUGGGGCUGUCUUUGUUUGUUUGCAGAUUGGAGUGGAGCAGAAGAAGGAGACUCACAAGCGGAAUGGUGGAGAUAUACUGCAAGACCUGGAGCUCAGGAAGCAGGUUGGCAUGGAGCAUGUGGAGGAACAGGGAAACGCACCUUAGUGUUUCUUUUUCCUGUAAUGGACACACAACAGACAGAAGAAGGAGACUCACAAGAGCAUCUGUGGAAAUUUGUCUGAAAACCGCUGGUUAACAGUUUAUGCAUUUCUGGAGUUCAGCAAGCAUGUAGAGCUCUGUUAGUUGUGUCUUUAUCUUUUCCAGGCUGGAGUGCAGCAUGUGGAGACAAAUAGGAAUCACACACCUCAGCAAUGGACACUGAUGGUCAGGAAUAUCCUUUAAAGGCAGAUGAAUAGGUGCAUGGAUGGAUGUCCUUCCAAGUGGAAGGGGGUGGUGGUGGGCAUAGAUUGUUAGAUAUA